GCCAGACUCCUACGGGAGGCAGCAGUGGGGGAUAUUGCACAAUGGGGGAAACCCUGAUGCAGCGACGCCGCGUGGGCGAAGAAGUAUUUCGGUAUGUAAAGCCCUAUCAGCAGGGAAGAAGAAAUGACGGUACCUGAGUAAGAAGCACCGGCUAAAUACGUGCCAGCAGCCGCGGUAAUACGUAUGGUGCAAGCGUUAUCCGGAUUUACUGGGUGUAAAGGGGGCGCAGACGGCAGCGCAAGCCAGGAGUGAAAGCCCGGGGCCCAACCCCGGGACUGCUCUUGGAACUGCGCGGCUGGAGUGCAGGAGGGGCAGGCGGAAUUCCUGGUGUAGCGGUGAAAUGCGUAGAUAUCAGGAGGAACACCGGUGGCGAAGGCGGCCUGCUGGACUGCGACUGACGUUGAGGCCCGAAAGCGUGGGGAGCAAACAGGAGUAGAUACCCGGGUA
RNAcentral lists this ribosomal RNA (447 nucleotides) under uncultured bacterium. RNAcentral describes it as "partial 16S ribosomal RNA". It matches the Rfam family "Bacterial small subunit ribosomal RNA", at positions 330 to 792 of the family's 1533-position model. The record is from RNAcentral.